AAGGCAGAUGAUGAGGAAGACAAAGACAUCCACAUCUCCUGAUUUAAAUUGUGGACACAAUACCAUGAUGAUUCCGUCUAGGGGAAUCUCUGAUGCCAA
Small nucleolar RNA from Panicum virgatum (switchgrass), 99 nucleotides. RefSeq annotates it as small nucleolar RNA R44/J54/Z268 family. The transcript has a single exon. The record is from RefSeq and is a predicted model, not a curated record. NCBI's taxonomy places the organism in Eukaryota, Viridiplantae, Streptophyta, Magnoliopsida, Poales, Poaceae.